AUGGAGGAGGAAGAGAAAGUAGAGAAGGAGAUAAGAGGGCUUUUCAUAGGAUUCUAUGAUUUACAGUUUAAAUUAGGGUUAAGAUGGGCGGACCAUUAAUUAGACGUUAUGUGUGGAGGGAAGGUGAAGUGUUGAGUUAAGGUAGGUGGACCAUUAAUGGGUGCAUGGAGGGAAGGCGAAGUGUUGAGUUAAGGUGGGUGGACCAUUAAUUAGACGUUAUGGGUGGAGGGAAGGCGAAGGGUUGGUUUCGCAAUAUGAAGUCCAAAACUAAAGAAAACACGCCACGUUGCUUUUCUUUUGGGGAUAGGUGACUUUGAAAUAAAAUCUCCUUCAUUAUAGGUGACUUUGAAAUAGAGUUCUCAAUAAUUAUGUAUUUAUUUUUAAUUGAUAUCUUUCCGACUUUAAUUUUUUAUUAAUGAGGGGAGUUCGUAUAUUUUUAUCUAAAGAAAUUAUAUAAUUUUUUAUCAAUUAAAUAGAUCUCUAAUGUGGAAGAUUUGCAUGAAAACUUAAAUAAUAUGUAGAAAAAGAAUAUUCUAAUGAGAUUUUAUUAAUUAAUAAUAUUUUGCUUACUGUUUGAAUGAUAUGAUUAGGGGCCUGAUUCAUAAAUCGCCUAAAAUUGAGGGCCUUCAAACAUUUUUUUAUCAUAAUAUGAUUUGUAUUCAUUAAAGGGGUCUCAAGUAUAAAAUUUUUUUAAUGCAAAAUAAAAUAGUAUGAAUGGCAUGGCCUAAAUCAUUUUUUAUAUAAAAAGUUUGCAUGACUUAAAUCAUUUUUGACAUAAUUUAUAAAAUUGAAGGGAUUUCAGGUAUAAAUAUCAUUUUUUGUCCUAACAAAGUGGCUUUUUUAUAAAUAGUAUAAAAGAAAAUUUUUUAUGGCCAAAUGUUGAGAUCUAAAAUUUAAUUUAUCUAAAUGUUCAAUUGAGCAAUAAUUUUUUUACUAUCUUAUGCAAAUAUAAUAAAAUUAUUAAAUUAUAAAUAUUCACUAAUAAUUUAUUUAAAAAUUAUAUAUUAUACAUCAAUCAUGUCCAAUCUUAAUUAUUUUGAAAAAAAUAUUUUUUAUUUUUUUAAAUAUGUGACGUGCAUUGCACGUGCACUCUACUAGUAUAAUAUAAAUUGCAUCUCUCAGAUUAAUUUUAAUUAUACUAUAUUUAUUAUUAAAUAAAUUAGUUCAAUAUAUGUGAUAUAUUAAUAGAUCCGGUGUAGAUAUUAUUUUUCAUAUUUAAGAAUGAGAGAAAGUUGAGGAGAAUUGAAAGAAAAGCUACACGUAGUAGUAAAACUCUCAUUUCGUAUAUUUAUAUAUAUAUAUAUAUAUUUUUUUUUAUGCUAUAUUUUUUAAAUCUCAUAUGAGAAUUUUUGGUUUGUUACUUGUUGCUACUUACUUCUAGGUUGUAUUUUUUAUUUUGUUUCUUCACUACUCAACCCCAUCUUCCUCAAAUUCUUUCUUAAUGGAUGAGAUGAGGGACGAAAGAGGAAAGCCCCCAUUUUUCUCAAUUUCUUUCCAGAAGUGCCCCCCACACUCUCUCCCCACCCUAUAUAUACAUGUAAACAUAGUCAUUCAACCAUGCACACUUUCUCUCUCUCUCUCUCUCUCUCUCUCUCUCUCUCUCCCUCUUUCUCUCUAUCUCUCUCCUUGCCCGCGUACGCAAGCACACCUCUGUCUCUCUCUAUGUCCACAAUAACGAGCUUGCUGCUUUCGCCAAACUUUCACCAAGAGCAAUCGACAGAAAGUUCCCCCAAAGUAGGAAUCACUGUCGGGAUAAAUGUCCCCCAAAGUAGGGAUCAUUGUCGGGAUAAAUGUCGGGAUGAGUGUUCAAGGGAUGAUUGCUACUGCGGCAACCGGCCUACUCAUCUACUGCAUAUGGAAAAGGAGGCGUUCAGGCCCCCGCAGGAACAACAAAGGCUCCACGACAGGGCAACCCCAUAGCGAUAUUGAGUCGGUAGUCGCCUCAGGCGUACUAGAGGGCCGCAUCGCUGCGCGAAUGAUUAGCAACUGAUCAAUAUUAGUAUCUAUAAUUUGGUACGUAGGCUGUGGCUAUCUAUUUAUACACUUUAUUUUGAGUUUGUAAGGAUUUUGCAUAUAAGCAUAUAUUUUGCAUUUUUGUUUGGGUUAUGUUUAAAAGUCUCAUUGCGGCAGUAUUUACUAAUCGCAAGCCAUUGAUGUAUUUUUUUUUUAAUCUUUUUGAAAACCCGCGCGUUGCGGCGGAUAGAUACUACUAAAAUAAAUUUAAUGUCUAACUAAUAUAUCAAAAGUUUGUUGUUAUUUUAAAAAUCAAAAUAGUCCAAACAUAUUGGGUUUUUGCAAAAGUAUAUUAAUCUGCUGAAACCGAUUAGUAACAAAAUGCUCAUAGAAAGAUAAUAAAUAUGUCAACUUGUUGAGCCAAAAAAUGACAUACUAUUUGGAAGAGAUUUAGAUAAAAUAUUCGAUAAAAAUUAACAUUUUAUAAAUCAAAAUAAUCAAAGGGUUAAACUUUUUUGUAUAAGUUAUAUCUUUGUAACUUCAUUUUCUUAUAAGCUAUAAUAUUUACCCCUUCAAGAAAAUGAAGAUCGUUUUAGAUCAUUAUCAAUCUAAUUUUGUAAACAUUCUUAUAUCAAUUAAUAAAAAGAGUCAUAAAAGUAGAAAAAAAAGUAAGUAUAUGAAAAGUUAUAUAAUAAAUUUUUGAAAGACAAAAAGAUAUACAACCUAAUACAGCCUAAGACAGUAAUAUAAUACACAAUUUUACUUUAAAAAAAUAUAUAAAAAAUAAAUGAUAGAAAAAGAAAAAGUAAUAAACCUUCAACACAACAAACACAUCAGUUCGAAUUCCAUGCAAAUAAAAAAACUUAAAAAAACUGAAUAAAACUACCUAAGAAAUUUCAACGUUACAACAUCAAGAAUAUAUAAAUUUUUUAAAAGAACUUUUGAAUUUUGGAGUAAGGCACAAUUUGAUGAAGAUGACAGCACCAAGCUCGGUGAUGCAGCGUGCAAAAUCAUACUCCGUCCACAGAACGUGCUCGAUCUUGGCCUCGGAGCUCAUGGAGGAGGAAGAGAAAGUAGAGAAGGAGAUAAGAGGGCUUUUCAUAGGAUUCUAUGAUUUACAGUUUAAAUUAGGGUUAAGAUGGGCGGACCAUUAAUUAGACGUUAUGUGUGGAGGGAAGGUGAAGUGUUGAGUUAAGGUAGGUGGACCAUUAAUGGGUGCAUGGAGGGAAGGCGAAGUGUUGAGUUAAGGUGGGUGGACCAUUAAUUAGACGUUAUGGGUGGAGGGAAGGCGAAGGGUUGGUUUCGCAAUAUGAAGUCCAAAACUAAAGAAAACACGCCACGUUGCUUUUCUUUUGGGGAUAGGUGACUUUGAAAUAAAAUCUCCUUCAUUAUAGGUGACUUUGAAAUAGAGUUCUCAAUAAUUAUGUAUUUAUUUUUAAUUGAUAUCUUUCCGACUUUAAUUUUUUAUUAAUUAAUUAAUUCAGUUUUAUUUGAUAUAGAGUAGUUAAUUAAUUAAUUUUCUAAAAUUUAGUAUUUAUUGUUUAGGAUUUAAAAAUUUUGGUUAAAUUUUUAGUUUAUUCGACUAAAUUAGUAGCUAUAUGCAGGUUAAUAAAAAAAAAAUUAGGAAAA
This 3582-nucleotide long non-coding RNA is filed under the name Ananas comosus (pineapple). RNAcentral describes it as "long non-coding RNA (ACOM_LNC022535)". The record is from RNAcentral. Lineage: Eukaryota; Viridiplantae; Streptophyta; Magnoliopsida; Poales; Bromeliaceae.